UAAACGUGGUCCUCAAUGAUC
Molecule: non-coding RNA, 21 nt
Filed under: Caenorhabditis elegans
Lineage: Eukaryota; Metazoa; Nematoda; Chromadorea; Rhabditida; Rhabditidae
Source: RNAcentral